CCUACGGGAGGCAGCAGUGGGGAAUAUUGCACAAUGGGGGAAACCCUGAUGCAGCAACGCCGCGUGAAGGAAGACGGUUUUCGGAUUGUAAACUUCUUUGACAGGGGAAGAGCAGAAGACGGUACCCUGAAAACAAGCCACGGCUAACUACGUGCCAGCAGCCGCGGUAAUACGUAGGUGGCAAGCGUUGUCCGGAUUUACUGGGUGUAAAGGGCGUGUAGCCGGGAAGGCAAGUCAGAUGUGAAAUCUGGAGGCUCAACCUCCAAAUUGCAUUUGAAACUGUUUUUCUUGAGUACUGGAGAGGCAGACGGAAUUCCUUGUGUAGCGGUGAAAUGCGUAGAUAUAAGGAGGAACACCAGUGGCGAAGGCGGUCUGCUGGACAGCAACUGACGGUGAGGCGCGAAAGCGUGGGGAGCAAACAGGAUUAGAUACCCUAGUAGUC
Molecule: ribosomal RNA, 442 nt
Filed under: uncultured bacterium
Lineage: Bacteria
Description: partial 16S ribosomal RNA
Rfam family: Bacterial small subunit ribosomal RNA
Source: RNAcentral